Molecule: ribosomal RNA, 452 nt
Filed under: uncultured Glomus
Lineage: Eukaryota; Fungi; Glomeromycota; Glomeromycetes; Glomerales; Glomeraceae
Description: SSU rRNA
Rfam family: Eukaryotic small subunit ribosomal RNA
Source: RNAcentral
AGCAGCCGCGGUAAUUCCAGCUCCAAUAGCGUAUAUUAAAGUUGUUGCAGUUAAAAAGCUCGUAGUUGAAUUUCGGGGUUAGUAGGUUGGUCAUGCCUCUGGUAUGUACUGGUCUCACUGAUUCCUCCUUCCUUAUGAACCGUAAUGCCAUUAAUUUGGUGUUGCGGGAAAUUUGGACUGUUACUUUGAAAAAUUAGAGUGUUUAAAGCAAGCUAACGCUUGAAUACAUUAGCAUGGAAUAAUGAAAUAGGACGUUCGAUCUUAUUUUGUUGGUUUCUAGGAUUGACGUAAUGAUUAAUAGGGAUAGUUGGGGGCAUUAGUAUUCAAUUGUCAGAGGUGAAAUUCUUGGAUUUAUUGAAGACUAACUACUGCGAAAGCAUUUGCCAAGGAUGUUUUCAUUAAUCAAGAACGAAAGUUAGGGGAUCGAAGACGAUCAGAUACCGUCGUAGUCU